Molecule: microRNA precursor, 59 nt
Filed under: Mus musculus (house mouse)
Lineage: Eukaryota; Metazoa; Chordata; Mammalia; Rodentia; Muridae
Description: Mmu-Mir-1941-v2_pre stem-loop
Source: RNAcentral
AGGGAGAUGCUGGUACAGAGGCUUGGGGUUUUGAGGGCAUCUUAGCAGUAUCUCCCAUC